This 78-nucleotide non-coding RNA is filed under the name Candidatus Omnitrophota bacterium. Its description in RNAcentral is "Omnitrophica WOR c-di-GMP sequence". It matches the Rfam family "c-di-GMP-I riboswitch aptamer". From Rfam's summary of the family: GEMM was predicted in a large-scale screen for bacterial structured RNA regulatory elements. Genes associated with GEMM are involved in a diverse array of functions, including chemotaxis regulation, signal transduction, secretion and chitin. The record is from RNAcentral. Lineage: Bacteria; Pseudomonadati; Candidatus Omnitrophota.
UACUGAUAAAGGUAAACCCAGAGUAAUCUGGGGGCGCAAAGCAAUGGGGUCCUGAUAAAGGAUUGCCCGGCUGCCAAA